AGCAGCCGCGGUAAUUCCAGCUCCAAUAGCGUAUAUUAAAGUUGUUGCAGUUAAAAAAGCUCGUAGUUGAAUUCCGGGAUCAGUACGUCGGUCGUGCCUUCGGUAUGCACUGGUGUCACUGGUUCCUCCCUUCUGACGAACCGUCAUGCCAUUAAUUUGGUGUGGCGGGAAAUCAGGACUGUUACUUUAGAAAAAUUAGAGUGUUUAAAGCAGGCUCACGCUUGAAUACAUUAGCAUGGAAUAAUGAAAUAGGACGUUGAUCUUAUUUUGUUGGUUUCUAGGAUUGACGUAAUGAUUAAUAGGGAUAGGUUGGGGGCAUUAGUAUUCAAUUGUCAGAGGUGAAAUUCUUGGAUUUAUUGAAGACUAACUACUGCGAAAGCAUUUGCCAAGGAUGUUUUCAUUAAUCAAGAACGAAAGUUAGGGGAUCGAAGACGAUCAGAUACCGUCGUA
RNAcentral lists this ribosomal RNA (450 nucleotides) under uncultured Glomus. Its description in RNAcentral is "SSU rRNA". It matches the Rfam family "Eukaryotic small subunit ribosomal RNA", at positions 569 to 1022 of the family's 1831-position model. Lineage: Eukaryota; Fungi; Glomeromycota; Glomeromycetes; Glomerales; Glomeraceae. The record is from RNAcentral.